Molecule: ribosomal RNA, 253 nt
Filed under: uncultured bacterium
Lineage: Bacteria
Description: partial 16S ribosomal RNA
Rfam family: Bacterial small subunit ribosomal RNA
Source: RNAcentral
UACAGAGGUCCCAAGCGUUGUUCGGAUUCACUGGGCGUAAAGGGUGCGCAGGUGGGUUUGCAAGUUCGAUGUGAAAGCCCCGGGCUUAACCCGGGAAUGGCAUUGGAUACUGCAGAUCUGGAGGAUCGGAGGGGGGACUGGAAUUCUUGGUGUAGCAGUGAAAUGCGUAGAUAUCAGGAGGAACACCGAUGGCGAAGGCAGGUCUCUGGGCCACUACUGACGCUGAGAAGCGAAAGCAUGGGGAGCGAACAGG